Molecule: long non-coding RNA, 1256 nt
Organism: Brassica rapa (field mustard)
Lineage: Eukaryota; Viridiplantae; Streptophyta; Magnoliopsida; Brassicales; Brassicaceae
Source: RefSeq, a predicted model, not a curated record
UUUCUCCAGAAAGAAUCUGAGAAUACGAAUUUUUAACAUAGAGAAUCGUUAUUACAAUAUCCUUUGGUAUUGUCUUCUUGUUCAUGUUCAUUGGACCAGGAAAAUGAACUGUUACCAACUUGCAAAUCAAAGUCGUUUACGAGUACACAAAAGCAAGUAGUGUGAAAGAGAAGGCUCUUGGUCUCUUCUUGCGACCAUCUCUUCUUCUUACACACCACCUAGCUUGGGAAAACCUUUAGAGCAGGAUUAUCGCGGUCUUUAAGGGGGGGGGGGGAGUUUAGUGUUUUUAGGAUUAAAAAUAAAAGAUAAAUAUGUAAUUAAGGUGAAAACGUCCCUUAAAUGGAACAUUGAAGAGGCGUCUCUUCUUAACACGUGUCACGCAUUGAUGGCAUUUCUCUCCCGAGACGAAACCAAACCUUUCGUUUGGUCAUUCAUCGUCGACUCCGCUUCUCUCUCUCGUGCUCUCUCUCUCUUGCGUCGAGUCGACGGAAUCAAGCGGUGUUCUCUCGUCGACGGAAUCAAUCGGCGGCGCUGUCGGUGUACUCGUCGUAUCUCACCCUCUUCUCGACGGAAUCAAGCGGAAUCAAUCGCUGAUCACUCGACGACUCCGCGUCUCUCUCUCUCACCUCGACUGACACCUCGUCUCUCUCCCUCUCCUCGACGAGAACCCUUCUCUCUCCCUCUCCUCGACGAUGCCGCGUCUCAAUCUCUCUCCGCCUUGACUCGAAUCGAAAGGUAAUCAUUUGUUCUUGUGUUCUUCUUUCAUGCAUGUCUUUGAUUAGGCUGCUUCUUGUUCUGAUCUCAUGUUUGAUUUGUUUUGUCGGUUUGAUUCUGUUUCGCGGUGGCUCUCUACGACGGCGACGGAGCUCUCUGCGGUGGCUCUCCUCUGAUCAAAAGAGAGGAUCAAAGACGUUUUUUGUUGCUUGGAAAGAGACACGGGGAAGGUUCAUCGAUCAAAGGACUUCAAUUUCAAAACAAGGACUACAAACAACCGAUUCUAAACAAGGAUUAGUCAACUGUUGAUUCGUGUUUCUUCUUCUCCCAAUCACAAUAUAGAACAGCCUUUCUGAGAUUUUUUGUUUUUCUUGUUCUUGUUUUUGGGUAGCUCGAGAACUACUUUGAUGGCCACAUCAAAGACAGCUUUAACAUUCUGUAUAAUUGUUGACCAAAAAAAAAAAACAUUCUGUAUAAUUGAACGAGUUCUCCCGUCAGCAAGAUUCUGAAAGAAAACUAUAAAAAUGAUGUUGAAUUUUGUA